GGCGGGAUAGUUUAGUUGGUCAGAACAGUGGGAUCAUAAUCCACUUGUCGGGGGUUCAAAUCCCUCUUCCGUCA
This 74-nucleotide transfer RNA is filed under the name Scherffelia dubia. RNAcentral's name for it is "tRNA-Met". It matches the Rfam family "tRNA". Rfam says of the family: Transfer RNA (tRNA) molecules are approximately 80 nucleotides in length. Their secondary structure includes four short double-helical elements and three loops (D, anti-codon, and T loops). Lineage: Eukaryota; Viridiplantae; Chlorophyta; Chlorodendrophyceae; Chlorodendrales; Chlorodendraceae. The record is from RNAcentral.